GACAUAUAGCAAUUGUUUUGAAAAAAACUGUAAUUGGCUUGAAGUUUCUGUUUUCCUGUUUUAUCCAAAAACAAAUUCAGGGGAAUGAAACAUGAAUGGUGGCACUUGCACGAUAGAUCAAAUCAGACCUAAGUUAUAGUUUGAUGGAGUAAAUCGGGUCGAUAAAAUAGGACUUUAAACUGAGGACUCUAUAAAACUGCUGAGUUCGAAAGUAUUUGUGAUAUGUUUUUUUACUAUUCCAUAAAUAUGGUUUCGACGUCCUAGAUUUUUUUUAAAAUUGGAAUUACCAUAAUAUUAGAUAUGUUUGCUUACAUCUUUGUAUCUGUGAGGUGGUCAAUCUCACUUGGGUGAUAACCUCCACACUAUUGGCCUGACUAGCUCCUCUUGCAAUCCCUGAAACAAGGAAGACAAACACCGUUAUCGGCCGAUUGUCGGCCGGGAAGACCCUCCGAUGCUUAAAUAAGUGACCGGAAAAGGAGUAUGAGGCAUGAGAACUCAAAUGCAAAGUUUUAACAGGGUUAGAAGGCAUACCAUAGCUCCCGCGGUCACCUCGGCCUCUAAGCCAUCCAUGGUCACGUACCUAGCACACUUCUCACGUUCUCUUUCCUAUUAUUCCGGGCGGAAGCCUCCCCCCCCCCCCCAACCCCCAACCCCCAAUGGUUAGGGAGUUAACCUUCCUCCGCAUUUGUCGAGCAUGCAGCCAUUCCGGCCACGCCACGUGUAAGAUCCGGUUCUUUGGCUGGUUCUCCCAAAUUAGGCAUGAAGUCUCUCCGUCGGGUUCACCCAGACUGGACUUCUUCGGUUUGAGUCGGUCUGUCCUCCUGUCCAAGUCUUUUCCGUGUUUGUUCAGCCGAAGGAGCUUGUCUGUCCUCCAUUCGGACUAAGAUGCUAGGCUGUCUUCUAGGGAGCUAGGCUGUCCUCCAGUCAGACUAAUAUGCUAGGCUGUCCUCCAGUUUGGACUUAGAUGCCCCCCAAACAUAUUUUGGCCCCUUACAAUAUCCACAUAAGUUCCAUUGUAGAAGGGCUUCACAUAAGAUACAUGUUGAUAGUUCUACGCCACCUAAUAUUCCAUAUUCUCAAAGAGACCUGCCUGCAGUUCGCCCACUGUAACUUGAAAUUUGUCACAAUGAUGUGUUGCAUAAUCACAUGAUAACUUUGUUCAUGAUGGACUAAAGUUAAUAGAAUAUUUGUUUGUUAACUUUGUUUAUGCUUGGAGUAUGGCCCAGUGAUGACUGAAUAUUGGUCUUAGACUUGUAAAAGCAAAAAUAAUAAAAUAAUAAUAACUUAUUUUCUGGUAUGAAUAUAUUUAUGAUGCGCCCAAACCCUUAACCCCCUGUUUGAUUUUUUUU
RNAcentral lists this long non-coding RNA (1349 nucleotides) under Actinidia chinensis (golden kiwifruit). RNAcentral's name for it is "long non-coding RNA (ACHI_LNC000514)". The record is from RNAcentral. Lineage: Eukaryota; Viridiplantae; Streptophyta; Magnoliopsida; Ericales; Actinidiaceae.